AGACCCGAAACCCGGUGAUCUAGCCAUGGGCAGGUUGAAGGUUGGGUAACACUAACUGGAGGACCGAACCGACUAAUGUUGAAAAAUUAGCGGAUGACCUGUGGCUGGGGGUGAAAGGCCAAUCAAACCGGGAGAUAGCUGGUUCUCCCCGAAAGCUAUUUAGGUAGCGCCUCGUGAAUUCAUCUCCGGGGGUAGAGCACUGUUUCGGCUAGGGGGCCAUCCCGGCUUACCAACCCGAUGCAAACUGCGAAUACCGGAGAAUGUUAUCACGGGAGACACACGGCGGGUGCUAACGUCCGUCGUGAAGAGGGAAACAACCCAGACCGCCAGCUAAGGUCCCAAAGUCAUGGUUAAGUGGGAAACGAUGUGGGAAGGCCCAGACAGCCAGGAUGUUGGCUUAGAAGCAGCCAUCAUUUAAAGAAAGCGUAAUAGCUCACUGGUCGAGUCGGCCUGCGCGGAAGAUGUAACGGGGCUAAACCAUGCACCGAAGCUGCGGCAGCGAACGUAUCACCCAAGACAACUUUACGGAGUUGACGAUUGACGGAGCGAAGCGACGUCAAAGCGUUCAUUAAAGUCGAGUUGGCUUAGGGAUACGUUCGUUGGGUAGGGGAGCGUUCUGUAAGCCUGUGAAGGUGUGUCGUGAGGCAUGCUGGAGGUAUCAGAAGUGCGAAUGCUGACAUAAGUAACGAUAAAGCGGGUGAAAAGCCCGCUCGCCGGAAGACCAAGGGUUCCUGUCCAACGUUAAUCGGGGCAGGGUGAGUCGACCCCUAAGGCGAGGCCGAAAGGCGUAGUCGAUGGGAAACGGGUUAAUAUUCCCGUACUUGGUGUUACUGCGAAGGGGGGACGGAGAAGGCUAUGUUGGCCGGGCGACGGUUGUCCCGGUUUAAGCGUGUAGGUGUGUGUUCCAGGUAAAUCCGGUUCACUUUAACACUGAGGCGUGACGACGAGGCACUACGGUGCUGAAGCAACAAAUGCCCUGCUUCCAGGAAAAGCCUCUAAGCAUCAGGUAACAUCAAAUCGUACCCCAAACCGACACAGGUGGUCAGGUAGAGAAUACCAAGGCGCUUGAGAGAACUCGGGUGAAGGAACUAGGCAAAAUGGUGCCGUAACUUCGGGAGAAGGCACGCUGACACGUAGGUGAAGUGAUUUACUCAUGGAGCUGAAGUCAGUCGAAGAUACCAGCUGGCUGCAACUGUUUAUUAAAAACACAGCACUGUGCAAACACGAAAGUGGACGUAUACGGUGUGACGCCUGCCCGGUGCCGGAAGGUUAAUUGAUGGGGUCAGCGCAAGCGAAGCUCCUGAUCGAAGCCCCGGUAAACG
Molecule: ribosomal RNA, 1322 nt
Filed under: Salmonella enterica
Lineage: Bacteria; Pseudomonadati; Pseudomonadota; Gammaproteobacteria; Enterobacterales; Enterobacteriaceae
Also listed under: 1 other name
Description: partial 23S ribosomal RNA
Rfam family: Bacterial large subunit ribosomal RNA
Source: RNAcentral